AGUGAACGCUGGCGGUAGGCCUAGCACAUGCAAGUCGAACGGCAGCACAGUAAGAGCUUGCUCUUACGGGUGGCGAGUGGCGGACGGGUGAGGAAUACAUCGGAAUCUACUUUUUCGUGGGGGAUAACGUAGGGAAACUUACGCUAAUACCGCAUACGACCUACGGGUGAAAGCAGGGGAUCUUCGGACCUUGCGCGAUUGAAUGAGCCGAUGUCGGAUUAGCUAGUUGGCGGGGUAAAGGCCCACCAAGGCGACGAUCCGUAGCUGGUCUGAGAGGAUGAUCAGCCACACUGGAACUGAGACACGGUCCAGACUCCUACGGGAGGCAGCAGUGGGGAAUAUUGGACAAUGGGCGCAAGCCUGAUCCAGCCAUACCGCGUGGGUGAAGAAGACCUUCGGGUUGUAAAGCCCUUUUGUUGGGAAAGAAAAGCAGCAGGUUAAUACCCCGCUGUUCUGACGGUACCCAAAGAAUAAGCACCGGCUAACUUCGUG
This 492-nucleotide ribosomal RNA is filed under the name uncultured bacterium. RNAcentral's name for it is "partial 16S ribosomal RNA". It matches the Rfam family "Bacterial small subunit ribosomal RNA", at positions 29 to 507 of the family's 1533-position model. The record is from RNAcentral.